CCCGCACAGCAGCGGAGCGUGUGGUUUAAUUCGAUGCUACACGAAGAACCUUACCAGGGUUUGACAUGCAAGUGGUAGGAAACCGAAGGCGACCGACCCUUCGGGGAGCUUGCACAGGUGCUGCAUGGCUGUCGUCAGCUCGUGUCGUGAGAUGUUCGGUUAAGUCCGCUAACGAGCGCAACCCUCGCUGUGUGUUACAAGUGUCACACGGUACUGCCGGUCUUAAGCCGGAGGAAGGUGGGGAUGACGUCAAGUCAGCAUGGCCUUUAUGUCCUGGGCUACACACACGCUACAAUGGCCAACACAAUAGGUUGCUAAGCCGCGAGGUGGAGCCAAUCCUCAAAGUUGGUCUCAGUUCAGAUUGCAGGCUGCAACCCGCCUGCAUGAAGAUGGAGUUGCUAGUAACCGCAGGUCGGCUAUACUGCGGUGAAUACGUUCCCGGGGCUU
Molecule: ribosomal RNA, 447 nt
Filed under: uncultured Leptolinea sp.
Lineage: Bacteria; Bacillati; Chloroflexota; Anaerolineae; Anaerolineales; Anaerolineaceae
Description: bacterial SSU rRNA
Rfam family: Bacterial small subunit ribosomal RNA
Source: RNAcentral